RNAcentral lists this transfer RNA (85 nucleotides) under Felis catus (domestic cat). It matches the Rfam family "tRNA". From Rfam's summary of the family: Transfer RNA (tRNA) molecules are approximately 80 nucleotides in length. Their secondary structure includes four short double-helical elements and three loops (D, anti-codon, and T loops). The record is from Rfam by way of RNAcentral. Lineage: Eukaryota; Metazoa; Chordata; Mammalia; Carnivora; Felidae.
GCCUGGGUGGCUUAGUCGGUUAAGCAUCUGACUUCAGCUCAGGUCACGAUCUCGCGGUCCGUGAGUUCGAGCCCCGCGUCGGGCU